RNAcentral lists this unclassified non-coding RNA (1040 nucleotides) under Hevea brasiliensis (rubber tree). Lineage: Eukaryota; Viridiplantae; Streptophyta; Magnoliopsida; Malpighiales; Euphorbiaceae. The record is from RNAcentral.
GUUUAUUUCUGUAAAAUAUAAUAUUUUGAAUACAUAUUCUUAGAUUAAAAAAAAUAAAAAAUUUGCAUAUCGGUAGGAUGUUAUAUGUUAUAGCUGUGUGCUAGGGUUCUUGAUCCCUAACAGAGUUGGUUUCACCUUUAGAAUGAGAACAGAAUAAGAAAUAGGGAGAGAGAUAGAAGAAACGGAUUAGGAAUAUAGAGAAGAAAAGAGGAAAGGAUAGGGAAAAGAUUAUAGUUUGUUACUGAAUCUCAACAUAAUCAACAACAAACUGAAAUGCCUAUAUUUACACAGGCAUGGCUAUUGAAUUAAAUGUUCUUGCCAAUUAUUCUGCCCCUCUAUAUUUCUGGUACAAGUUAUAACUUCUUCCUAACACUUUCUUAGCUACUCAAACUAGUUUUACUUCUCAUCUUCCUUUAACUAUCACUAACCUAUUUCUUCGUAAACCUGGGUCUCUGAUAUUUAACACCGUGAUAGCUCCGUUUCUGUUACACACAACGACAAUUGUCAUUGUGACCAUGACCACAAUUUAAAUCCAUGGUUUUAGUGCUUUUGUUUGUCUUUCUGCAUAAUUAAUUUUGACUAACGUGCAGUAAAAAAAAAUGAAGUCCAAAUAUGGCAUAUUUUAUUUGAGAAUGAUAAUAUACAAAGUUUACCCUUUAAAACUUAAAACAUGACUGUUCAUGUUUCCAUGUCUUUGCUUCCACCCAUGUUUUUGGCUUUUCAUUUGUUUAAGUCCUGCUAGCAGCCGCCAUGUUUGAGAGAGCACAAAUACACAGGUUUACAGAGUGUGAUUAGUGUCUUUCUUGUCUCAUUUUAGUAAGAUGUUUAAAGAAUAUGGAUCUUGAGGUGCAUCUGAUAAAGCAUUCACAUUGCACAAUUAUGAUGGCUAUUCUCUAUUUUUGGAGUGGCAUUCAUCCAAAAUUUUUCUGCUUUUGACCAAUUAUCCUAGGUUUGACUGUAUAAAAUUCUAACAGGAGUUAUAACUCUGAAAUUUUAUGCUGUUCUUGAUCUUUUGUAGGCCUUGAUUGUGUACAUACUGA